This 253-nucleotide ribosomal RNA is filed under the name uncultured bacterium. RNAcentral describes it as "partial 16S ribosomal RNA". It matches the Rfam family "Bacterial small subunit ribosomal RNA", at positions 524 to 776 of the family's 1533-position model. The record is from RNAcentral.
GACAGAGGUGCCAAGCGUUGUCCGGAAUCAUUGGGCGUAAAGAGCGUGUAGGCGGCUCGGUAAGUCCGCUGUGAAAGUCCAGGGCUCAACCCUGGAAUGCCGGUGGAAACUGUCGAGCUAGAGUCCGGAAGAGGCGAGUGGAAUUCCUGGUGUAGCGGUGAAAUGCGCAGAUAUCAGGAGGAACACCAAUGGCGAAGGCAGCUCGCUGGGACGGUACUGACGCUGAGACGCGAAAGCGUGGGGAGCAAACAGG